UUAUCUAUAAAAACCCUCUUGAAGUUUAAUGAAGUUAAACGUCUGGACAGCUUCCAGAGCAGAACAAUUGAGCGCAAAUGUACUUUCAUGGCAGAUAAUUUGCUUUCAGGUUAGGGAAACCUGCAGCACCGAACUCGGCGUGAAAUCUGAUCACUUUUCUGCACUUGGCUUGCAGGGUUUGGCGCACAGAUAACUCACCCUGCGAAGAGCAGCACUUGCGACAGCAGAGGGAGGCCUUCCUUAUGCAAAAGGUUUUGGUGGAGGGAGCAUGGCAAGCUGCGUGAGAUUUUACAAAAUAAGAGACCAGUGCUAUUUCAGACCAUCUGUGCUGCCAAUCAAUUUCUUGGUUGAAGACAAAGCCUCAAGCUGACUGGGUCAACAAGGUCUGUCCAUCAAAGGAAAUGUAUUCUUCAGUCAAGAAAAUUCAGUAAAGUAACAGCCAUCUUUUAUGGAGACUGGAGAGAAUUGUUGGCUUUUAUUAUAUUCUGAAAACAGAAAGAAAUCCAAUACAAGGAAAACAGUGAUAAAAUUAACUUGGCUGGAUCUUCAGAGAUGUGAUCUGAAGCAACACUGCUACAUAUGCACUCUUUGGCUUCUUUGGACUCAAACCAGCCCCAAACGCACUAACAUUAGGAAGUCUGGGAGAAAUUUGCACCUGAGACUUGUUUCCAACUGUACUAGAGGAUGCUACCUGAACUGUUAUGGAGGAAAGCAGAGAGUUGCAAGGCUGCUAAUUUUAAAGGGCUCUUGAACAGCCAGGUUUACCGUUUCAACUCCCGCAAUCUGGAGCUCGGCAAUGGCAGCAUACAGCUCUUUCUUGGAAAGUUGUCCUCCGGAAUAGAUGUCACACAGGAAAUCCUCGUGAGGGUUUGCAGAAUGUUUUUCCAGUCGACUGUCAAUGGACUGCUUGGCUGAGGAGGGAAGAACAGGAGGUAAUUAAUGGAAAGUUGCUAAAAAUGCUAUCAAAAUAAAAGUGAAAAUAUGGCUCACAUGCAGGAUUGUGAAAGAGGAUAGCAAGCUGUGCUUUGGUUUCAAGAGAUGAGCAUUGUACCAAAUAAAUAAUGUUAUUUUCACAUUUUAGGCAAACACUAAACAGUUACAAAAAUUGUUUAUAAACAGAAAGAACAUCUGAAAACUACUAGGAAUUCCAUAUUGUAGUAUUAGGAAAAGAAAUCAGUGAUGUGUUGAGUGACAGAUUUAGCAAACAGAAAUCCAAGUGUGUAAAACCUACUGGCUUGGAUUUUCCAAGGGGAUCAAGAUAUUAAAAACCAAAGAGAUUUUUAGUGCUCAGGCUCCCUGAGGAAAGUUUAAGCCUUUGAUUUACUAUGGCAAGGUAAAAAUAGAUGCCAUUUCUAUGUGCAUUUUUCAAAAUAUAGUUGACUACAUUUUGCCCACCCUUUCUUGUGAAUAUCCUGAUUGUUAAGACCAGCUCUUAGUAAGGAACUAUUCAUGUCAAGUGAAGGUGCCAAGCUCUUUUUUGUUUUUUUUGGAAUAAAACUUGUUUAAAAUGUCUUUCUUAAAAGCCAUAAACUAAAAAGCAAUAGAAUAAGCGCACACAUGACUGGCAUGAGAAACUCCCCUGAAGUAUCAGGUACUCAAAUACUUAAGAGAAAUAUGCCACUCAGCAUUACAAUAAUCCAAGGACCAAAACCUUGUUUAAUCUUUAGCUAGAAUUAUCACAGACUAGGAAAAAACUGAAAAAUAUAAACUUAACUUCAUAUCUGGCAUUAGAGUAAUUUUUGCAAUCUUGAAGGCCAGUCUAUCUUAAUAGACAGAAAGUUCUGUCAGAAAACCAAGUUGUACCUUAUGAUUAAUUGCUUCUGUUUUAAGACUUACAACUAUGUUCCAGGUUACUCAGAAAGCAUGAUUUCUUUUUUAGUAAACAAACCUUUGUUGUGUGUGAAA
This is a long non-coding RNA of Dromaius novaehollandiae (emu), 1905 nucleotides long. RefSeq lists it as uncharacterized. NCBI's taxonomy places the organism in Eukaryota, Metazoa, Chordata, Aves, Casuariiformes, Dromaiidae. The record is from RefSeq and is a predicted model, not a curated record. The transcript has 7 exons.